GACGAACGCUGGCAGCGUGCUUAACACAUGCAAGUCGAACGGAAAGGCCCUGCUUUUGUGGGGUGCUCGAGUGGCGAACGGGUGAGUAACACGUUAGUAACCUGCCCUUGACUUUGGGAUAACUUCAGGAAACUGGGGCUAAUACCGGAUAGGAGCUCCUGCUGCAUGGUGGGGGUUGGAAAGUUUCGGCGGUUGGGGAUGGACUCGCGGCUUAUCAGCUUGUUGGUGGGGUAGUGGCUUACCAAGGCUUUGACGGGUAGCCGGCCUGAGAGGGUGACCGGCCACAUUGGGACUGAGAUACGGCCCAGACUCCUACGGGAGGCAGCAGUGGGGAAUAUUGCACAAUGGGCGGAAGCCUGAUGCAGCAACGCCGCGUGCGGGAUGACGGCCUUCGGGUUGUAAACCGCUUUCGCCUGUGACGAAGCGUGAGUGACGGUAAUGGGUAAAGAAGCACCGGCUAACUACGUG
Molecule: ribosomal RNA, 468 nt
Filed under: uncultured bacterium
Lineage: Bacteria
Description: partial 16S ribosomal RNA
Rfam family: Bacterial small subunit ribosomal RNA
Source: RNAcentral